Molecule: ribosomal RNA, 301 nt
Filed under: uncultured bacterium
Lineage: Bacteria
Description: partial 16S ribosomal RNA
Rfam family: Bacterial small subunit ribosomal RNA
Source: RNAcentral
CAGUCGCCGCGGGAAUACGAAGGGGGCUAGCGUUGCUCGGAAUUACUGGGCGUAAAGGGAGCGUAGGCGGAUCGUUUAGUCAGGGGUGAAAUCCCGGGGCUCAACCUCGGAACUGCCUUUGAUACUGGCGAUCUUGAGUAUGGGAGAGGCGUGUGGAACUCCGAGUGUAGAGGUGAAAUUCGUAGAUAUUCGGAAGAACACCAGUAGCGAAGGCGACACACUGGCCCAUUACUGACGCUGAGGCUCGAAAGCGUGGGGAGCGAACAGGAUUAGAGACCCCCGUAGUCCCUGUCUCUUAUAC